RNAcentral lists this long non-coding RNA (1737 nucleotides) under Lactuca sativa (garden lettuce). RNAcentral's name for it is "long non-coding RNA (LSAT_LNC006528)". Lineage: Eukaryota; Viridiplantae; Streptophyta; Magnoliopsida; Asterales; Asteraceae. The record is from RNAcentral.
CUUAUCAAAAAUUAUUUCUAAAAUCGAAUCGUCCCUCUGCCGCUCUACGCCUACUAUGCCGCAAUCGAUGAUGGAAGACUUUGUAUUCACAAGGUUACAAAGGUCGAACACUUUAAGGUUGUCUUCCUCAACGUUCAACUAAUCCAUCCUAUCGUUCAGAAAGUUUUCUUGUCUUCUUGAAUCUUAGAUAGUAAGAAACAUCCACAUCUCAGUUUCUAUUCGGUAAACUCAAAUUCGAUUCUCUCCCUCUCUCAUUAUCUGAUUUUUGCUUGUUUUAGUUUGUAAAAAUCACAGUUUUUUUUUUUUUUUUUUUUUUUUUUUUUUUUUUUUUUUUUUNCUCUUGGAAUCUGGUUUUUUCUGAUUUUUGUUAGAACUCAGAAUUUAGAUUUCGGUUUGGAAUCUGAUUUCCUUUUGAAAUGACUAUCUGUUUUCUGAUUUUUCUUGGAACUUAGAAAUCUGAUUUCUGUUUUUAAAGUUUUAAAGGUUUUUGUUUUGGAAUCUGGUUGUUGUUUUGAAUUUUGAUUUUUUUUUUUCAUUCGUUAGUGACUAUUUGCAUUUCUGAUAUAGAGAAAUAUAAUUUAGUACAACAAGAAUUUUGGGAACGAGCAUCAUAAGUCUUACCAUAUUCAACCUUUUCAAUUUCAAUUUAUAUAGUAUUUUCUUGUAACUUUUUUUAUUUUAUUUUAUUUUUUUUUUUUUACUUUUUUUUUUCAUCACAAUUUAAGUAAUUCAUUGAAUCAACAUUAUCCUAAGUCCAAGGAAUAGGCUCUUCCCUAACCUUUUGUUUUGCAAUCCUCUUCAUUGCAUUGAAAAUUUUGAAACAAUUACAAAUAAAUAACUCGUGAACUGAUUGGAAUUUUUUUUAAUUAAAUAUAGUAUUAAAUUGAUGAAGAACUCUUACAUUUUGUUAUUGAUGCCUUUAGAAUUCGAUUGAGAAACGUGAUCUUUUGAGUUUGUCAGCCUUGAGAUGGAAUAAGAUAUUGUUUGCUCUGAUUAUUUUAUUUGCUUAAACGUACAUCUUUAUCAUUGCUUAUUUUGUUGACAGAGUUGACAUUAUCCACUAAUACUUUUGGGGUUUUGCGGAUUGGUUUCGUUGAUUGGGGGUUUUUGUGGAUUGGUUACUUACUGUUCCUCAACUUGACAAAAUCAAGAUCAUAAAACCAAUCAGGGAUUUGAGGUUUUUUUAGAGUUAUCAAGAAUCUUAAGAAUGUUUGAAUUGGGGGGUUGAAGGUAAAAGUAAAGAUCAUCAAACCAGUCCACAAAAAACCCUAAUCCACAAAAUCAAUCACUAAAACCCCCCUAAUUCAAAAGCAUCUAUAGUGAAUGUGUCAACAAAAAGUAAACAGAUAAAGAUGUAUGCUCAAGCAAAAAAUCAGGGUCAACAAUAUCUUAUUCCACCGCCAAUAAAAUCAGAAGAUCACAAUUUCAAAAUCUAAUUCUAAAGGCUUCAGUGGCAAGGGUUCUUCAUCAAUUUAAUAUUAUGUUUAAUUACAAAAAUAUCAAAUAGUUCACGAGUUAUUUAUUUGUUUCAAAAGCUUCGGUGAUACAUUAAAGAAGAUUUUGAAACAAAAAGCUAGGGAAGAGCGUAUUUCUUCGAUUUCAGAUAAUGUUGAUUCUAUGCAUUACUUAACGUGUGAUGAAAAAGAAGAAAGAGGUUGGAAGGAAAUAAUGAUAAGUUGAAAAUCUAUCCGUAGAGUUAUUCCAAACACCGUUUAUAGUCGAGCUCCAUGACUUCAG